GGCUUAGAGUUUGAUCAUGGCUCAGGACGAACGCUGGCGGCGUGCCUAACACAUGCAAGUCGAACGGAGAUAAGCGCUGAUGAUUUAGCUUGCUAGAGAUUCUUGCUUAUCUUAGUGGCGGACGGGUGAGUAACGCGUGAGCAACCUGCCUUUCAGAGGGGGAUAACGUCUUGAAAAGGACGCUAAUACCGCAUGAUAUUAUGGAGCCACAUGGCUCUAUAAUCAAAGGAGCAAUCCGCUGAAAGAUGGGCUCGCGUCCGAUUAGGUAGUUGGCGGGAUAACAGCCCACCAAGCCGACGAUCGGUAGCCGGACUGAGAGGUUGAACGGCCACAUUGGGACUGAGACACGGCCCAGACUCCUACGGGAGGCAGCAGUGAGGGAUAUUGGUCAAUGGGGGAAACCCUGAACCAGCAACGCCGCGUGAGGGAUGACGGCCUUCGGGUUGUAAACCUCUGUCCUCUGUGAAGAUAAUGACGGUAGCAGAGGAGGAAGCUCCGGCUAACUACGUGCCAGCAGCCGCGGUAAUACGUAGGGAGCAAGCGUUGUCCGGAUUUACUGGGUGUAAAGGGUGCGUAGGCGGUUUGGUAAGUCAGAAGUGAAAUCCAUGGGCUUAACCCAUGAACUGCUUUUGAAACUAUCGAACUUGAGUGAAGUAGAGGUAGGCG
This 666-nucleotide ribosomal RNA is filed under the name uncultured organism. Its description in RNAcentral is "bacterial SSU rRNA". It matches the Rfam family "Bacterial small subunit ribosomal RNA", at positions 1 to 663 of the family's 1533-position model. The record is from RNAcentral.